AGUAAAGUGGCGUACGGGUGAGUAACACGUGGAUCAUUUGCCCUAGAGUGGGGAAUAACGAUGGGAAACCGUCGCUAAUACCGCAUAAUCCCGAGAGGGGAAAGCAGCAAUGCGCUCAAGGAGAAGUCCGCGGCCGAUUAGCUUGUUGGUAGGGUAAUGGCCUACCAAGGCUGCGAUCGGUAGCCGGCCUGAGAGGGCACACGGCCACACUGGCACUGAAACACGGGCCAG
RNAcentral lists this ribosomal RNA (231 nucleotides) under uncultured bacterium. RNAcentral's name for it is "partial 16S ribosomal RNA". It matches the Rfam family "Bacterial small subunit ribosomal RNA", at positions 89 to 334 of the family's 1533-position model. The record is from RNAcentral.